CCUGAUCUGAUGAUGUUCUGUGAAACUGAAUAUGUUCUACACCAAGACCUAAGCUGUGAGUGCCGGAUCAGCUCCCAGAUGUCAGUGACUACUUUUCUCUUUCUCAACUCUAUAAGGUGACAAGAGCCUGUCUAAGGGCACAUCAUUUUGAGUGGCUCCAUUCUAUGGACCAGGGGUACCCAAAAUGUGCUCCACAGGGCAACGCCGGUCUGGGAUCUGCUUGCUACCAGUCUGAUGACAUGCAUACAGAACUUGAGGAUACUAUUAACUCAGAAACAUCUUAAGAAUUUAAGUUCACAUAAUAAUGCCUGAAUCAACCUAGCCCCAAGCCAACACUCAAACCUCAGUGGAGGAAUUCUUCAGUAGUUUUCUCAUGCCAUUUCAUUCACUAAAACGGGUCCCCAGCCGUAGGGGUCCAUGGAGAAUUUCCCUGACAACCUGCAUAUCCAGAGACUUUUCUUCC
Long non-coding RNA from Mesoplodon densirostris (Blainville's beaked whale), 463 nucleotides. RefSeq lists it as uncharacterized. NCBI's taxonomy places the organism in Eukaryota, Metazoa, Chordata, Mammalia, Artiodactyla, Ziphiidae. The transcript is spliced from 4 exons. The record is from RefSeq and is a predicted model, not a curated record.